UCGGGAAUCUUGCACAAUGGGCGAAGGCCUGAUGCAGCAACACCGUGUGAGCGAGGAAGGCCUUCGGGUCGUAAAGCUCUGUUGUUGGGGACGAAGGGCGAAGGGUUAAUAGCCCCUAGCCUGACGGUACCCUUCGAGGAAGCCCCGGCUAACUACGUGCCAGCAGCCGCGGUAAUACGUAGGGGGCGAGCGUUGUCCGGAAUUAUUGGGCGUAAAGAGCGUGUAGGCGGCCCGGAAAGUCCGCCGUGAAAACGUGGGGGUCAAGCCUGGGCGUGGGGUGGAUACUGCUGGGCUAGAGGAUGGUAGAGGCGAGUGGAAUUCCCUGUGUAGCGGUGAAAUGCGCAGAGAUCGGGAGGAACACCAGUAGCGAAGGCGGCUCGCUGGGCCAUUCCUGACGCUGAGACGCGAAAGCAUGGGGAGCGAACAGGAUUAGAUACCCGCGUAGUCC
RNAcentral lists this ribosomal RNA (448 nucleotides) under uncultured prokaryote. RNAcentral describes it as "bacterial SSU rRNA". It matches the Rfam family "Bacterial small subunit ribosomal RNA", at positions 355 to 796 of the family's 1533-position model. The record is from RNAcentral.